This 294-nucleotide long non-coding RNA is filed under the name Manihot esculenta (cassava). RNAcentral's name for it is "long non-coding RNA (MESC_LNC009441)". The record is from RNAcentral. Lineage: Eukaryota; Viridiplantae; Streptophyta; Magnoliopsida; Malpighiales; Euphorbiaceae.
CUCUUCCCUGCAAGGAUCAGUGUUUAGCAUAUCAUCUUUUAUAUCAAAAAUAUCUUUGUUCAAACAAUCAAUGAUAUCUAAAUUAUCAACAAGUUCUGUUUGAUCUGUUUGUUGGGACAAACAGUAUUCUGGUUGUGUUUCUUCAGCAACUUGUACUUGCCAACUUUCAUCAUCAUCCCAUACAUCUUGAAGCUCUUCCUCUCUUCUUAACAUGGUUGCAUUCAUUGACGCAGUCAGCUGUCUUAUGUCCUGUCGUACGCUUUGCAUAGAUGUGGUCAUUUGGCCUAGGUCUUG